AAUAAGUGCAGCUAUAUGUAUUCGUGUCCAACGUUUAACCGUCCGUCUUAUUUGAAAACUUUUAAUGAUUAGUAUUUUUGUUAUUAAAUGAUAAAACAUGAAUAUUACUUUAUGCGUGACUAUUUUUUUAAUCUUUUCAUAAAAUUUUCAAAUAAGACGAACGGUCAAACGUAGAUACGGAUACUCAUGGCUGCACUUAUU
Molecule: non-coding RNA, 201 nt
Organism: Oryza glaberrima (African rice)
Lineage: Eukaryota; Viridiplantae; Streptophyta; Magnoliopsida; Poales; Poaceae
Source: Rfam